This 744-nucleotide ribosomal RNA is filed under the name uncultured bacterium. Its description in RNAcentral is "bacterial SSU rRNA". It matches the Rfam family "Bacterial small subunit ribosomal RNA", at positions 94 to 823 of the family's 1533-position model. The record is from RNAcentral.
AGCGGCGGAUGGGUGAGUAACACGUGGGGAACCUGCCCCUAAGUCUGGGAUACCAUUUGGAAACAGGUGCUAAUACCGGAUAAUAAAGCAGAUCGCAUGAUCAGCUUUUGAAAGGCGGCGUAAGCUGUCGCUAAGGGAUGGCCCCGCGGUGCAUUAGCUAGUUGGUAAGGUAACGGCUUACCAAGGCGACGAUGCAUAGCCGAGUUGAGAGACUGAUCGGCCACAUUGGGACUGAGACACGGCCCAAACUCCUACGGGAGGCAGCAGUAGGGAAUCUUCCACAAUGGACGCAAGUCUGAUGGAGCAACGCCGCGUGAGUGAAGAAGGUUUUCGGAUCGUAAAGCUCUGUUGUUGGUGAAGAAGGAUAGAGGUAGUAACUGGCCUUUAUUUGACGGUAAUCAACCAGAAAGUCACGGCUAACUACGUGCCAGCAGCCGCGGUAAUACGUAGGUGGCAAGCGUUGUCCGGAUUUAUUGGGCGUAAAGCGAGCGCAGGCGGAAAAAUAAGUCUAAUGUGAAAGCCCUCGGCUUAACCGAGGAACUGCAUCGGAAACUGUUUUUCUUGAGUGCAGAUGAGGAGAGUGGAACUCCAUGUGUAGCGGUGGAAUGCGUAGAUAUAUGGAAGAACACCAGUGGCGAAAGGCGGCUCUCUGGUCUGCAACUGACGCUGAGGCUCGAAAGCAUGGGUAGCGAACAGGAUUAGAUACCCUGGUAGUCCAUGCCGUAAACGAUGAGUGCUAAGUGU